AAGGUUCCCAUUGUUUUCAUUCUGGUGGGAUAUCUUAUAUGCCAUUAGAGUGAAAACUUAGUCUUUUGCUAGCAGUUGCCGCUAGGGCAUCUAUGCCAUUUCUUUCGUUGCAAUUCGGGACUGCACGCUGGGGUUUGUUUUGGUUUGAUCAGGGAGAGCAGCAUAUGUGCCUCCUGAUGAGAGACUAAUAAGUUUCGAAACCGGUAGAGGUGCUUGCAGCACUCUCUGGUUGGACUGGAAUAUGGUUCGGCUGUAUUUUCGUUUUGCAACGAAAUUGAAAAUGGUUAUUCAUUUUUGAUUUACAUUUACUCUGUGUGGAGUAUGAAGGGAACCAGUCUCGUUGGAACUUUACCGCGCUGAGCAGAUGUGACGUGAAUUGUAAAUUGUAGAAUUCCCUCAUCUUCCUUAGUCUCAGCAUCCGUAUGGCUUGCAAAUUGUAGAAGCCUCGGAGGUGUAACCAGAGAAGGUUCCCAUUGUUUUCAUUCUGGUGGGAUAUGUUAUAUGCCAUUAGAGUGAAAACUUAGUCUUAUGCAUUCACUUACUUACUGUGUCAGGGUUUAGCGUGGGUUCAGGACUGAUCACCCUGGACUUGGGCACUUCACUUGGCUCAAAAAUAUAUUAAUAUCUAUAAGUUGUUCCUAGAGUAUCUCUUAGGUUGAAAUUAGAAUGUGUCAUGUAGAAUUGGAUCGUUCUGAUAUUCAGCAGUAAGUCAGUCUGUUUAACUUGGUUGUCAUCUCCUAUGCUGUUAUCUUUUAAAUGAUUUGAGUUUUAACAUAUCUUAUUACCAUAAGUUUGGUUACCUGUCUCUACCACUUGCUUGGAUUAGUGGCUGUGAGUAUGUGAGUUACCUUAUUUGUCUCCCUACUGAGCAUUAUGUUAGUAGAUGUUCUUCUGCCUUAAAUAUGAAAAGGUAGAUGUGAGUUUAUCUUUACCUUUACCUGAAGUGAGUUUAUAUUUACCUUUAGUUUGAGUUUAUCUCGUACCUUUACCUUGAUGAGUUUAUCUCUUAUCUAUAUCUUGAUUGAAUGUAUAUCUUAUCUUUAUCUUGAUUAUUAUAAAGUCCUAAGAAUCUGUCCUUCUCUGUGCUUGUCGUGAGUAAAGAAUUGGACCACGUCAAUAGUACAGUUUAGGUAUUACAGUUAGGAUUUUUAUUACCUUUUACCUUUUGUGCAUACCCUCUACCACGAGUAGAUGCGGGCUUGCCAGUAUCUUUACCUUUUAGCAUACCCUAUACUAUGCGUAUAGUGCGCUUGCUAGUAUCUUUACCUAGAUUGUGUCUUCCUAUCGCUACGAAAGCAAGUAGACGUUAUGAAUUAUCUUUUACCUUGAGUUUUAGAUGUUGAUAUCCGGAACCAUAUCAUAUAUGUUUAGGUUUGUAGUAAUGUAGUUUUAACUGGUCCUAAUGAAUUAGUCCCUCAUUGAAUUCUGGGGUGAUUAAUAGAAUUUGUUCGCUCUCGUGUCAAUGUUGGGUAAAGUUAAUAGGAUGCGUUUAGGUUAAUUGUUGUUUAUGGUUCUUAGUUAUAUUGUGUUGGGGGUUGUUAAUACACACCUGUAAUUUAGUUUUAAUCAUGGGUUUACUAACACUUGAGAAUGUAGAUAGUAAGUAGUGUUAAGAGUUGACUUACUCUAUAAGGUUGUAUAAUUAUAUUUAGAAUGUUAGUGAUUAACGCGUAAUUAUUUGUUUUUCUCUAUCUUUGGUUUUACUAAAUUAAAGUAAAUUAUCUUGUUGAAUAACUUAUGUCAGUCAGUUACGUAUGUCGGUUAGUUACACAUCCCUUCUAUGUUCUAUACUUUCUGCAAGUACCAUUAAAGAUAUCUCGCGUGGCCUCUAUACUGUCUGUAUGACUUCGUCCUGAUUUUUGUUCUGUCUCCUCAGCAAAUAGUAUGGCUGUUGAGCCUACCAAAAUUAUGGUUUUCUACCACAACGUUUCUCCUUUACCGUGUCCAUCCUCAGGUUCGCCUAGCGUCAGUUAGUUCUGGAAAAUAAAAAAAAAAGGAAACUUGUAGAGUUUUCCUUUUUUUGCUGGAGAAGAGGGAGAAUGUAGCGAUCACGCUACUAAUUAAAUUAAUUUAAUUAAAAUUGGAUUAAAAUAUACCCCUCUACAAAAUCCUUGGGUGACGCCCGCGAAGAUCCAACUACGAUUUUUCGGUGCACAGGCGCGCCAAUAGAAAGAAAAUCGAUGAUUGUCGAUUUCUAGUUUAGUUGGUCACGAACUCACAAAGAGGCAACACAUCGUCAUUACUUAGGUGACGGAGUUUGGGCAAAAUUGGGAAAAUAUAUAACUAAAAGACCUCGAACAUCAGCCAAUAACCCAUACUAAUAAAAAUCAAGCAGUAGUUAUAUCUGGAGACUUAUUUACAAGAAAGGAAAAAGGUUAUAAUACCGCCGAUGUGUUGCUUUGCUCAAAUUCCGUCCCGUAGCUACUUGUCACAUAGACACUUAGCCUAGUCAAUUUAUAUAGAUUGUAUCAUCAUUUAAUGUGCCAUUAUAUAAAUAUGUGCCAGUUACUGUAAGCAGCUAGGGUAUGGGUUACCCCUAGAGUUACUUUUGAUUGGAUUGGAUAGUACCUAUUUCACAACAUCCAGGAUUGGAUUUAUCACCACAGCAGCCCACUAGUUUUUGCCGUGCCAAGAGGAAAUUCAUUCCUAUCUGGACCUUUUUAAAUAGGACUUGUGGUUAAGAUAAGUUGUUUAAUCUUAUUAUUUACAUAUUUUGGGUACUCUAUAGUUGCUUGCACUGUAAACUUCUUGUAUGCAUACAAUUGAGGUAAACUAGGUACAUAUUUCUUGAUACAUAAGGUUUUAGGUCGUUGGUUUUUUUUGAUUUAAUAUAAGUAGUAGUUUCCAAUAAAUAAAAUUAGGUCUUGUUCAAUAAUCAUUAUAAAUAAUAAUUGUAGCUUAAAAAUUUGGUAGGGAAGGGGUCGUUAAAGGUUUGUCGCGGAUUUCAAAUAGGGAAUAUGUCUUGUAGGUUUUUACAUUGUAUAUAAAGAGUAACUGACUAACUCAUUUAUACAACUCAUUUAUAUCACUCAUUUAUAUAACUCAUUUAUAUAACUCAUUAUAUAUUUACUUAUUAGUGUUUUUGCUAAGUGAGAUCUUUAUUAUUUUUGGUAACCGUAGCGUUCUUGUUGUGGAUCUCACUCUAGCGUAGUUCAAUUUAGGAAAUAAUUACUAACUUUUUAGUUGUAAGGACUUAGUGCUAUUCUGACGGACUUUUGCUUUGGAUUUUGAUUUUAAUACCUUUGCUUGGCCAGUGAUAGUGGAUAAUUGCUUGUUAAGUGGCCUUUGCGGUCCUAUUUGAUCUUUUCCCCAUCCACUAUCACUGUUAUCACGUUGCGUUAUAUGUAAAUUGUUAGUAUUUAACAUUUGUGAUUAAUAUAUUUGUAUGUA
Molecule: long non-coding RNA, 3390 nt
Filed under: Diabrotica virgifera virgifera (western corn rootworm)
Lineage: Eukaryota; Metazoa; Arthropoda; Insecta; Coleoptera; Chrysomelidae
Description: uncharacterized LOC126890053
Source: RNAcentral